This 431-nucleotide ribosomal RNA is filed under the name uncultured bacterium. RNAcentral's name for it is "partial 16S ribosomal RNA". It matches the Rfam family "Bacterial small subunit ribosomal RNA", at positions 29 to 507 of the family's 1533-position model. The record is from RNAcentral.
AACGAACGCUGGCGGCAGGCUUAACACAUGCAAGUCGAGCGCCCCGCAAGGGGAGCGGCAGACGGGUGAGUAACGCGUGGGAACGUACCUUUUGGUUCGGAACAACUCCGGGAAACUGGAGCUAAUACCGGAUAAGCCCUAACGGGGAAAGAUUUAUCGCCGAAAGAUCGGCCCGCGUCUGAUUAGCUAGUUGGUGAGGUAACGGCUCACCAAGGCGACGAUCAGUAGCUGGUCUGAGAGGAUGAUCAGCCACACUGGGACUGAGACACGGCCCAGACUCCUACGGGAGGCAGCAGUGGGGAAUAUUGGACAAUGGGCGCAAGCCUGAUCCAGCCAUGCCGCGUGAGUGAUGAAGGCCUUAGGGUUGUAAAGCUCUUUUGUCCGGGAAGAUAAUAACUGUACCGGAAGAAUAAGCCCCGGCUAACUUCGUG